GCAUAUCAAUAAGCGGAGGAAAAGAAAAUAACAAUGAUUCCCUCAGUAACGGCGAGCGAAGAGGGAUAAGCUCAAAUUUUAAAUCUGUUGGGUUCCACUCGACAGAGUUGUAUUUUGAAGAAACGUUUUCUGCAUCCAGGAUUAGCCUAAAUCCUUUGGGAUAAGGUAUCAUGGAGGGUGAGAAUCCCGUUCAUGGUUAAUCUUAAGGAAGCUCUACGAUACGUUUUCCAAGAGUCGAGUUGUUUGGGAUUGCAGCUCAAAAUGGGAGGUAAAUUUCUCCUAAGGUUAAAUAUUGGCGAGAGACCGAUAGCGAACAAGUACCGUGAGGGAAAGAUGAAAAGAACUUUGAAAAGAGAGUUAAACAGUACGUGAAAUUGUUGAAAGGGAAACGAUUGAAGUCAGUCAUACCAACGGGAAAUCAACCUUUUGAGCUCGGUCUCGUGGGUUUUGAAGAGUUUCAAAGCCUUCGGAUUCGCGGGAUUGGGAUCUCUUGGCGUACUUUUUCGUACGGUUAGUCAACAUCGGUUUUGAAUGUCAUAAAAUGACUGGAGGAAUGUAGCUUCGAUCUCGUAUUGAAGUGUUAUAGCCUUUGGUAGAUGUGAUGUUUGAGACCGAGGAUUGCAACGGAUACCCUUCAGGGCUAUUCGUCUGAUCUCUGAUACGUUGCCUUGAUGUUGAAAGCUUGCUUAUGAUGUUAGGGUAUUACGGUCAAAAGGUUAGAACGAAUUACAUUCGUUAAGGAUGUUGACGUAAUGGCUUUAAACGAC
Molecule: ribosomal RNA, 767 nt
Filed under: Funneliformis mosseae
Lineage: Eukaryota; Fungi; Glomeromycota; Glomeromycetes; Glomerales; Glomeraceae
Description: eukaryotic LSU rRNA
Rfam family: Eukaryotic large subunit ribosomal RNA
Source: RNAcentral